Aricia agestis (brown argus) is the source of this 73-nucleotide long non-coding RNA. RefSeq lists it as uncharacterized. NCBI's taxonomy places the organism in Eukaryota, Metazoa, Arthropoda, Insecta, Lepidoptera, Lycaenidae. The record is from RefSeq and is a predicted model, not a curated record. The transcript has 3 exons.
AAAGAUUUGUUCGACGUUUGUCAACGUUUCUGUCAAAAUUCUGAUAUGACAUGUGAGCAACACUCGGAUUAUU